AUGGAGCACAGCUGGGAAGCCAAGCAGGCGCCGCCGGCGUCGGAGGUGAGUGCCAGGCCGCCGCCGCCGCUCACCCAUGAGGACAACCGCGGCUUCCUCCAGAUGCUCCGCGAGAAGAAGGAAAGGCUGGGGGUCGACGCCGCCAAGGUGGAGGUGCGGUUCGAGGAGCUCACCGUGGAGGCCGACGUGCGCGUGGGCCGCCGCGCGCUGCCCACGCUGCUCAACUGCGCCGUCAACGCCGCCCAGGAAUUGGCAACAUCUUCACACAUGUGUACCACAAGGAAAAAACCUAUCAAAAUUAUAAAUGGAGCAAGCGGGACAAUUCGUCCAUCACGGAUGACACUUCUUCUAGGAGCACCUGGUUCUGGGAAAACUACUUUUUUAAAAGCAUUGGCAGGAAAGUUGGAUUCUUCUUUGAAGCUCAAAGGAAAGGUCAUGUACAAUGGAGAAGAAGUGAAUUCCUCAACACCUCAAUACCUGCAUGCCUACAUUAGCCAGUAUGAUCUUCAUCAUGCUGAGAUGACCGUCAGAGAGACGAUUGAUUUCUCUUCCAAGAUGUUGGGAACCAAUAAUGAAUUUGAGAUGCUGGGAGAAGCAAUAAGAAGGAAAAAGGGUGUCAUCAACAAAGUGGACCAAGAUCUUGACUCUUUUAUUAAGGCUACCACCUUCGGAGAAGGAAGCAACCUUACAACAAACUAUAUUAUCAAGAUACUUGGUUUGUCCGAGUGUGCAGAUACCCUAGUGGGGGAUGAGAUGAGAAGAGGCAUAUCAGGAGGACAAAAAAAGAGAGCCACGAUUGGAGAGAUGCUAGUUGGUCUAGCAAGAUGCUUCUUUAUGGAUGACAUAUCAACAGGUCUAGAUAGCUCCACCACAUACGAGAUUGUAAAGUUUCUCCAACAAAUGGCUCAUCUGAUGGAUCUCACUGUGGUUAUUUCCUUGCUUCAACCACCUCCUGAGACGUUGGAGUUAUUUGACGACAUAAUCCUUUUAUGCGAGGGGCAAAUUGUAUAUCAUGGUCCUCGAGAAAAUGCUACUGGUUUCUUUGAAAUUAUGGGAUUCAAAUGCCCCAGCAGGAAGAAUGUAGCUGAUUUCCUUCAAGAGGUGACCUCGAAGAUGGAUCAAAAGCAAUACUGGAUUGGUGAUGAAAAUAAGUAUCAAUACCGGUCAAUCGAAAAAUUUGCAGAAUCUUUUCGUUCAUCCUAUCUCCCACGACCUGCGAAAGACGAUCUCUGCAGGACAAACAAUACAGGAAAGAGAAAGGAGAUUAUAACAAGUGCAACUCGCAGGAUCUCUAGAUGGAAUAUUUUCAAGGCAUGCUUUUCAAGGGAAGUAUUGCUUCUUAAAAGAAACUCCCCACUUCAUAUAUUUAAGACUGUACAGAUAACUGUUAUGGCUUUGGUGAUCUCAACGGUUUUCCUUCGAACAAAUAUGAACCAUAAAACUGUACUCGAUGCCAAUAAGUACAUGGGAUCACUCUUUAUGGCUGUUGUGAUAGUAAACUUCAAUGGCAUGACUGAAAUUGGAAUGACAAUAAAGCGACUCCCCACUUUCUACAAGCAAAGAGAGUUACUAGCAUUGCCAGGAUGGGCACUUCUUUCUUCGGUAUUCCUUAUCAGCCUCCCAAUGUCACUUCUAGAGACAGGUCUGUGGACCAGCUUAACCUACUAUGUGAUUGGCUACGCACCUUCCUUUCUCAGAUUCAUCCAGCAGUUUUUGGUACUUUUUGCCAUGCAUCAAAUGUCAAUGGGCCUCUAUCGUUUCUUAGCGGCAAUAGGAAGGACGCAAGUAAUGGCCAACAUGCUAGGCACCGCAGCUCUCAUAGCAAUCUACAUAUUUGGAGGCUUUGUCAUAUCAAAAGAUAACCUCCAACCAUGGUUGCAGUGGGGAUACUGGACAUCCCCAUUCACCUAUGCACAGAAUGCUGUUGCCCUAAAUGAGUUCCUUGAUGAAAGAUGGGCUAGUGAAUUUUACUAUGCAAAUGCUAAAACAGUUGGUGAAGCUAUCCUCAAGAUCAGGGGGUUGCUCACAGAGUGGCAUUGGUACUGGAUUUGUGUCGGCAUUUUAUUUGGAUUCUCGCUGGUCCUCAACAUCCUCACUAUAUUUGCACUAGAGUUCAUGAACUCUCCACACAAGCAUCAAGUUAAUAUCGAUUCCACGAAGACAAAAACGGAGUGCAAGAAACAGAAAGUUGGAACUCGCAAUGCAUCAACUGGUCAAGUUGCCCUCCCGUUUCAGCCUCUUUCCCUUGUAUUUGAUCAUAUCAACUAUUUUGUUGACAUGCCUAAGGAAAUGAUGAAGUAUGGAGUAACAGAGAAAAAGCUUCAACUGCUGCAAGAUGUCAGUGGUGUUUUCAGGCCAGGGGUGUUAACAGCUCUGAUGGGGAUCACUGGUGCUGGAAAGACAACAUUGCUCGACGUUUUGGCUGGAAGAAAAACUGGAGGAUAUAUUGAAGGUACUAUUAGGAUAGCAGGAUACCCAAAGAAGCAGGACACAUUCUCAAGGAUCUCGGGCUACUGUGAACAGAGUGACAUUCACUCCCCUAACCUCACUGUGCAUGAGUCACUACAGUUCUCGGCAUGGCUUCGACUUCCUUCGAACGUUAACUCUCGCCAAAGAGAUAUGUUUAUAGAUGAAGUAAUGGACCUAGUUGAAUUGACUGGACUGAAGAAUGCCAUGGUGGGAAUAGCAGGAGCAACUGGCCUGUCAGCUGAGCAGCGAAAAAGGCUAACAAUAGCAGUGGAGCUGGUAGCUAGUCCUUCCAUUAUAUUCAUGGACGAGCCAACCACUGGCUUGGAUGCCCGUGCUGCAGCAAUUGUGAUGAGAACAGUAAGAAAGACAGUAGACACUGGACGAACUGUAGUCUGCACAAUUCAUCAACCAAGCAUUGGGAUAUUUGAAUCUUUUGAUGAGCUUUUGCUUAUGAAAAGAGGUGGUCAGAUCAUAUACAGUGGUUCAUUAGGUCCGCUAUCUAGCAACAUGAUCAAGUAUUUCGAGGCUAUACCUGGUGUUCCUAGAAUAAAAGAGGGACAAAACCCAGCAGCAUGGGUGUUGGAUAUAAGUUCACACAUAACAGAAUAUGUGAUUGGAGUGGACUAUGCAGAAAUUUACCGGAGCUCCUCCCUGUACAGGGAGAACAUGCUUCUAAUUGAAGAGCUGGGGCAACCAGCGCCAAACACCGUGGAUCUACAUUUUCCCCCAGGAUAUUGGCAGAACUUUAGGGCGCAGUGCAUGGCUUGCUUGUGGAAACAAAGAUGUGCAUACUGGAAAAACUCAGAACACAAUGUUGUUCGGUUCCUAAACACGUUUGCUGUAUCAAUUAUGUUUGGAAUUGUAUUCUGGAAAAUUGGCUCAACCAUAAAACGGGAGCAAGAUGUAUUCAACAUACUAGGGGUUGUAUAUGGAUCAGCACUGUUUCUGGGCUUCAUGAAUUGCAGCAUCUUACAGCCAGUUGUGGCAAUGGAGAGAGUUGUUCUUUACCGAGAAAAGGCAGCAGGCAUGUACUGUACCUUGGCCUACGCCAUAGCUCAGAUGGCAAUUGAAUUGCCUUACAUGCUUGUCCAAGUGCUCAUCUUCGCAUCAAUCGUAUACCCAAUGAUUGGGUUCGAGAUGACAGCCGUCAAGUUCUUUUGGUUUGUUCUUUACAUGGUGCUAAGCUUCAUGUACUACACACUCUACGGGAUGAUGACAGUCGCACUAACACCUAACCUUGAGAUAGCUGCCGGAUUGUCCUUCCUUAUCUUCAUCUUUUGGAACGUCUUCUCCGGCUUCAUCAUUGGAAGAGAGCUGAUCCCGAUAUGGUGGAGGUGGGUGUACUGGGCUAACCCAGCGGCAUGGACAGUGUACGGGCUCAUGUUCUCACAGCUGGGCGACCGGACAGAGCUGAUCCGUGUGCCGGGGCAACCGGACCAGACGGUGCGUGAGUUCCUCGAGGGCUACCUUGGCCUCGAGAACCGCUACUUCAACCUUGUCACAUGCCUGCACCUGGCCAUCAUCGCCCUGUUCGCCUUCCUCUUCUUCAUCUUCAUCAAGCACCUCAAGUUCCAGCGGAGGUAG
RNAcentral lists this ribosomal RNA (4053 nucleotides) under Triticum aestivum (bread wheat). RNAcentral's name for it is "partial small subunit ribosomal RNA". Lineage: Eukaryota; Viridiplantae; Streptophyta; Magnoliopsida; Poales; Poaceae. The record is from RNAcentral.